This 705-nucleotide ribosomal RNA is filed under the name Alexandrium tamarense. Its description in RNAcentral is "LSU rRNA". It matches the Rfam family "Eukaryotic large subunit ribosomal RNA", at positions 23 to 671 of the family's 3401-position model. The record is from RNAcentral. Lineage: Eukaryota; Dinophyceae; Gonyaulacales; Pyrocystaceae.
ACCCGCUGAAUUUAAGCAUAUAAGUAAGUGGUGGAAAUUAAACCAAAUGGGAUAUCUUAAGUAAUUGCGAAUGAACAAGGAUAUGCUUAGCUUGACAAAUGGAGCUAUUGGCUUUGAAUUGUAGCUGUGGAAUGUAUUACCAACAGAGGUGCAGGUGCCAGCCUAUUAAAUAAAGCGUCAAUGAGGGUGAGAAUCCUGUUUGUCAUGUGCAGCCCUUUGUGCACGGUGUAUAUUUGCUGAGUCACACUCCUUGGCAUUGGAAUGCAAAGUGGGUGGUAAGUUUCAUGUACAGGUAAACAUGCAAUUGAGACUGAUAGCACACAAGUACCAUGAGGGAAAUAUGAAAAGGACUUUGAAAAGAGAAUUAAAUGAGUUUGUAUUUGCUGAACACAAAGUAAACAGACUUGAUUUGCUUGGUGGGAGUGUUGCACUUGCUUGACAAGAGCUUUGGGCUGUGGGUGUAAUGAUUCUUUCUUUGCAUGCCAGUUUCUAUUUGUACAUCUGAUUACCUUUGCACAUGAAUGAUAAGUCUCCUGUGGGGGGUGGAUUGCAUGUGCAUGUAAUGAUUUGUGUUUUGAUAAAUGUGUCUGGUGUAUGUGUGUGUUCCUGUGCUUGGGGAUGCUUCCUUCCUUGGACUUACAAGCCCUGACACACACAUGCUGGCAAAAUGCUUCUGCUUGACCCGUCUUGAAACACGGACCAAGG